GCCGCUGUGGCACAGUGGGUAGCUCUGUUGCCUUGCAGUCAAAAGGUUGUUGGUUCAAGGCUCGCCAGUGACC
Molecule: non-coding RNA, 73 nt
Organism: Danionella cerebrum
Lineage: Eukaryota; Metazoa; Chordata; Actinopteri; Cypriniformes; Danionidae
Source: the annotation of a GenBank genome assembly